CACAUGGAUGGUGGUGUGGCCACGCGUUUUCAGCCGAGCUAGCAUGGAAACCUUCCCCACCGUUCAGUUUUGCUUCCACUGGCUACCGAACUCAUGCACACACGUACGGCGCAUGAGCUGAGCUUCGGUGUUUCCGCCUCCAUGCGCCAUGCGCCCUGCGCCCUGCCGGAAAUCGAUGCGCACGUCUCCAGUCCAGUCGCUGAGCGCCCCAUCCCCGACCUCCUCCUCUCACGGCCGGGAUCGUCCUCCGUCAGCCGGUCGCCGGCCGCCCUGCAACACCUGCACCAGCCGCCGGAUUCGACCCUCGCCGUUUCUGGAAUCCGGACCUGGUAGGUACGGUUGCUCUGGACAAGUCUCUCCGUGCUUAGUACUGGUAUGGUUUGUCUGUCUGCUACGAAUCGAUAACUCUGCCCGUUCUAGUCCUACCACGGAUUGAUCUACCAAGGCAGAGCCUUCUUCCCUCUGCACUAACCCUGGCCUCGUUCCCAAGAGCAUUCAAUGACGAGUUUUCGGACGACCUCGGCUUAGCGGCAAUCAGGGUAGUGCCUUGUGCAAUAUAUAUAUAGUACCCUUGUGAUGUGUCUCUGUCCCUUGUCCAAGACACCUUUUCUUCUGCCCCUAAUCUUGAUUGUUUGCUACUGAAUUUGUUUUAUCAUUUGUUGGUCGAUCUGUCCAGUGUGCUUGUAAUAACAAAAAUCUGAAAAUUAUAUUGUCCUGCAA
This is a long non-coding RNA of Lolium rigidum, 720 nucleotides long. RefSeq lists it as uncharacterized. NCBI's taxonomy places the organism in Eukaryota, Viridiplantae, Streptophyta, Magnoliopsida, Poales, Poaceae. The transcript is spliced from 2 exons. The record is from RefSeq and is a predicted model, not a curated record.